GUAGAGUGAUCGAAAGAUGAAAAGCACUUUGAAAAGAGGGUUAAACAGCACGUGAAAUUGUUAAAAGGGAAGCGCUUGUGACCAGACUUGCGUCCGGUGAAUCACCCAGCUCUCGCGGCUGGGGCACUUCGCCGGCUCAGGCCAGCAUCAGCUCGCUGUCGGGGACAAAAGCUUCAGGAACGUAGCUCUCUUCGGGGAGUGUUAUAGCCUGUUGCAUAAUACCCCUUCGGCGGGCUGAGGUACGCG
Molecule: ribosomal RNA, 246 nt
Filed under: Colletotrichum gloeosporioides
Lineage: Eukaryota; Fungi; Ascomycota; Sordariomycetes; Glomerellales; Glomerellaceae
Description: partial 28S ribosomal RNA
Rfam family: Eukaryotic large subunit ribosomal RNA
Source: RNAcentral